GAUGAACGCUGGCGGCGUGCCUAAUACAUGCCAGUCGAGCGAACGGACGAGAAGCUUGCUUCUCUGAUGUUAGCGGCGGACGGGUGAGUAACACGUGGAUAACCUACCUAUAAGACUGGGAUAACUUCGGGAAACCGGAGCUAAUACCGGAUAAUAUUUUGAACCGCAUGGUUCAAAAGUGAAAGACGGUCUUGCUGUCACUUAUAGAUGGAUCCGCGCUGCAUUAGCGAGUUGGUAAGGUAACGGCUUACCAAGGCAACGAUGCAUAGCCGACCUGAGAGGGUGAUCGGCCACACUGGAACUGAGACACGGUCCAGACUCCUACGGGAGGCAGCAGUAGGAAAUCUUCCGCAAUGGGCGAAAGCCUGACGGAGCAACGCCGCGUGAGUGAUGAAGGUCUUCGGAUCGUAAAACUCUGUUAUUAGGGAAGAACAUAUGUGUAAGUAACUGUGCACAUCUUGACGGUACCUAAUCAGAAAGCCACGGCUAACUACGUG
RNAcentral lists this ribosomal RNA (497 nucleotides) under uncultured bacterium. RNAcentral's name for it is "partial 16S ribosomal RNA". It matches the Rfam family "Bacterial small subunit ribosomal RNA", at positions 28 to 507 of the family's 1533-position model. The record is from RNAcentral.